This 530-nucleotide ribosomal RNA is filed under the name uncultured bacterium. RNAcentral's name for it is "bacterial SSU rRNA". It matches the Rfam family "Bacterial small subunit ribosomal RNA", at positions 777 to 1302 of the family's 1533-position model. The record is from RNAcentral.
AAUAGAUACCCGGGUAGUCCACGCCGUAAACGAUGAGUGCUAAGUGUUGGAGGGUUUCCGCCUUUCAGUGCUGCAGCUAACGCAUUAAGCACUCCGCCUGGGGAGUACGGUCGCAAGACUGAAACUCAAAGGAAUUGACGGGGGCCCGCACAAGCGGUGGAGCAUGUGGUUUAAUUCGAAGCAACGCGAAGAACCUUACCAGGUCUUGACAUCUCCUGACCGCCCUGGAGACAGGGUCUUCCCUUCGGGGACAGGAUGACAGGUGGUGCAUGGUUGUCGUCAGCUCGUGUCGUGAGAUGUUGGGUUAAGUCCCGCAACGAGCGCAACCCUUGGUUCUAGUUGCCAGCAUUCAGUUGGGCACUCUAGAGCGACUGCCGGCGACAAGUCGGAGGAAGGUGGGGAUGACGUCAAAUCAUCAUGCCCCUUAUGACCUGGGCUACACACGUGCUACAAUGGAUGGUACAAAGGGCAGACGAGCGGCGACGCAGUAACGCGAACUCCCGAAGAAACCUAUUCUCAGUUCGAUUGCG